GUGCUUGCUUUAGCAACACAUAUACUAAAAUUGGAACAAUACAGAGGAGACGAGCAUGGCACCUGCGUAAGGACGACACACAAAUUCAUGAAGUGUUCCAUAUUUUU
Molecule: small nuclear RNA, 107 nt
Organism: Callithrix jacchus (white-tufted-ear marmoset)
Lineage: Eukaryota; Metazoa; Chordata; Mammalia; Primates; Cebidae
Source: Ensembl